GACAGAGGUGCCGAGCGUUAGGCGGAAUCACUGGGCUUAAAGCGCGUGUAGGCGGGAGGGCACGUCCGUCGCUGAAAUCCCCCGGCUCAACCGGGGAACGGGCGCGGAUACGACCUUCCUGGAGGGGCGUAGGGGGACCUGGAACUUCCGGUGGAGCGGUGAAAUGCGUUGAGAUCGGAAGGAACGCCCGUGGCGAAAGCGAGGUCCUGGACGCCUACUGACGCUGAGACGCGAAAGCCAGGGGAGCGAACGGG
This 254-nucleotide ribosomal RNA is filed under the name uncultured bacterium. RNAcentral describes it as "partial 16S ribosomal RNA". It matches the Rfam family "Bacterial small subunit ribosomal RNA", at positions 524 to 776 of the family's 1533-position model. The record is from RNAcentral.